RNAcentral lists this long non-coding RNA (988 nucleotides) under Olea europaea (common olive). RNAcentral's name for it is "long non-coding RNA (OEUR_LNC002211)". The record is from RNAcentral. Lineage: Eukaryota; Viridiplantae; Streptophyta; Magnoliopsida; Lamiales; Oleaceae.
UGCAUUUAACUCUUAAAAUGAUUUUACAAUAAAGGAAAUUCAAAUGAAGUGCCCACCUAGGUUGCCUUGGGUUAAAGAACUCCCUUUCUCAUGCUUUUUCUUAAGACCAAUCAGCAUCCAAACUUCCCAAGAAAACUAAUGCAUAAGAAGCAUAGAUCUAUAGAGAACUAGUACACAUUUAACCCUCUUUUCCCCAGAGACUAUUCUAAACCCAAUUGUCAUGUCGAGGUUAGUAAAAUAAUAGAACUGUAAUACAUACAAUAUAUAUUAAACAUUAACUUGCAAGUGACAGAGCUUCCACCAGGAGUGUAUUAUUGACAACCUAGUUAAUCAAGUUCAUUGACCGCAAGUGGAAAAAAAAUUCAUUCUCACCAGGACUAUUCAAUUACAACAUUAAGCUCACACUCAGCUUAUACAUGAAAGCAAAGAUGCAAUUUAGAAACCUAAUUAUCCCAUGUAAUAUCCUUUCCAAUAUGUUCGAGCUCAUUAAAAUAGCAACAUCCUCUUUGAAUGAGCAGGGGUGUUGAAAUAUCUUGUAAAUGAAGAUAGAGGAGAAGAAUAUUAAGAAACUAAAUUGUGAUCAGUAAAAGAAAAAAGAAACAAAAUUCAGACCUAGUUUAUUAAGUACAAGUUGCAAUCAUAUGAAAUGGCAAGAGAAAGCUACUUAGCAGGUCAUUACUGAACAAAAAAAUAAUCUACUUACCAAGAGAAGCUAGAAUAGGCAAAAUGAGAUUACUGCUUUAAUAAUGAUGCAGAAACAGUAGUGACAUUGAUCCAUAAGAAGCUUAGCAAACUCUUGGAAUAGUUUAAGCUAAUUUGACAAAAGCUUAAGCAAAGAAAAUAAUUGAAGCAUAAUUGAAAGUUGAUGGACCUUUAUACGAGAUUCCGUCAUCACUGUCCAUCGACAUUGCUGAUUGAGCAUAUGGAGGGGCAUUGGAGCGGUUUGCAACUUGUGAUGAUUUUGGCAAAGAAUCUGUAGCUUUUUCCU